Trachemys scripta elegans is the source of this 302-nucleotide long non-coding RNA. RefSeq lists it as uncharacterized. NCBI's taxonomy places the organism in Eukaryota, Metazoa, Chordata, Testudines, Emydidae. The record is from RefSeq and is a predicted model, not a curated record. The transcript is spliced from 3 exons.
AGUGGUGAUGCACUGAACUGAAUUUUCCUGCUCUACUGCACAGAGGUUUUCUACUGACACAUAAACCUUUUAUUGAUGCAAAAACGUGCAGAAUCCCCCCUGGAAAAAGGAUACCAAAACUGGGGAAAGGCAGCAGCAGGAUGGAAGGCUGCCGAGAUCGUCGUGGUGGCUCCUGCAGUCACAAGACUGGCUACAGGGCACUUACGAAUAUGGCGCUGCUAGAGAUCUUUAAAAGUGCUGCGUGCCAAAACACGAGGAUCCGUCCAGCAGCAUUUACCCCCGCAGUGACUAGCGCGGACCAG